AAAGAAACAAAGUAAUAGCCUUUGAGCCACAGCAGUUAGCUAGAGGCUGAGGUCGUUCCCUUGUGAAAUGUUCAGCCCAUUACUCUUACCCUACAGCUUACAACCAUGUUGACCAUUGAGGUAAAAGGAACUGCGUGGAUGUUGAUUUCUUUGCCAAGCCCUGAAUGAUUAAAGCUCUGCAUAAGUUAGUCAUAAUUCUUAGACAGGCCUAUUGGUGUGAAUUAAGAGAAGAGGGCCAAAAAUAUCACUUACUUUAGACACCAUUUGCUUAUACUUAAUUAAAAAAUAAAUACAAAUUAUAAUAGUUAAUUUAGAUUUUUCUUAAAAAAGAAACAUUCCCUAAACAGCUCCAAAGAGGAAAUACUUAAGUAUAUAUCUUUCUAUAUCAAGUCUUGUUUCUUCUUCUCUAAUUCUCACCAAAAUUCCCUCCUUGUCCCUAAGGAUUGAGUUGAUAAUGCCUGAAGUAGAGAGAAAAAUGAUUUUUAUUUCAUGAUGUACUGCUUCCAGCUAGUCACUCCCUGAGUUUGCUACAGUCAAAGAUUUGUGCAAGUUAGCUCUAACUUUUGCUGACUUCUUUUUUUCUCCUGUAUGCAUUUUAUCUGAUGGGAAAUACAUGAAGGAAUUGGAUUCACUUUCAAUGUGUACAUGCAACAGGUUUAAGCAGAGCUUGCCAGUGGCAAGCUGCUCUCAUUUCCCAGUGUAUUUCUGGCAUCAAGUUCUUGUUUUGAAGUAUUUAAAAAUCUUAUGAAAUAUAUGAAAUUUCACUUAGUACUUAUAAAAAACCUCAGAGAAGGUUUUUUGUGUUUGUUUUUUCUUUUAUCUUCCCACUAUCUCUGAUUUUUUUUUCUAGUGCUGCCUAAGGCUCUAGUAGAAUUUUUUAAGUGAACUAAACAUAAGAUUGGGUUUCACUGACUUCUAGUACCAUCAGUAAUUCAGCAGACAUUUAUUUAGCACCAACUAGGUGUCAUGGACUUUAUUAGAAUCUGCAAAAGCAAGAUAACCAAAAGAGGGUGUCUCCUGUCCAAGCAAAGCCUAGAGUCAGUAGAGAAGAUGAGCUCAGUGUAUUGUACCUUACAAAAGCAUUCUGAAAGAAGGAAGCAUGUAGGCUACGAAAGGAUAAAAGAAGGUUCUUUAAAUCAGACUGGGACAGAGGUGGAGCAGGGAGAAGGUUGAGUCCUAAAGAAUGAAAUAGGAGUAUUCACUGACCUCCCUGAAGUCACCAAGGACUCCAGUCGAGAAUUCCUUCCUGAAUGGAGAAGAGAAAAUAAUGGUCUUAAUCAACACUGCUCCAGAAUCUUUUACUCAGAAUCAGGACCUCUGCUGUCUUCUUUGUUCCCUCACCCCCCUCACUAUGACAUACCUAAAGAGAAGUAGUGACAAAGAGACAUUCAUUCCAUGAAAUAAACUGAAGUCAGAGCUAAGAAAAAAAACACAAAAUUUAUCCAACGAAAAGGCAGGCUCUUUUAAACAGGCUAGGAACAGUGUCAAAAAGGUAAUUUUUUAUGUCCAAUUUUUACUCUCAUAACUUGUGCUAUAAGUCUUCUGGUAAACCUGCAUCUGUUAGGUUUAUAUACAUGAUAGAGCAAGUUUCAGACCUCAAGAUUAUAUCAAAUAUACUUGGCGUAUAGAACUGUACAUCAGCUGACUCCACACACAAACUUAA
This is a long non-coding RNA of Manis pentadactyla (Chinese pangolin), 1663 nucleotides long. RefSeq lists it as uncharacterized. The record is from RefSeq and is a predicted model, not a curated record. Lineage: Eukaryota; Metazoa; Chordata; Mammalia; Pholidota; Manidae. The transcript has 2 exons.